GACGAACGCUGGCGGCGUGCCUAAUACAUGCAAGUUGAGCGCUGAAGGUUGGUACUUGUACCAACUGGAUGAGCAGCGAACGGGUGAGUAACGCGUGGGGAAUCUGCCUUUGAGCGGGGGACAACAUUUGGAAACGAAUGCUAAUACCGCAUAAAAACUUUAAACACAAGUUUUAAGUUUGAAAGAUGCAAUUGCAUCACUCAAAGAUGAUCCCGCGUUGUAUUAGCUAGUUGGUGAGGUAAAGGCUCACCAAGGCGAUGAUACAUAGCCGACCUGAGAGGGUGAUCGGCCACAUUGGGACUGAGACACGGCCCAAACUCCUACGGGAGGCAGCAGUAGGGAAUCUUCGGCAAAGGACGAAAGUCUGACCGAGCAACGCCGCGUGAGUGAAGAAGGUUUUCGGAUCGUAAAACUCUGUUGGUAGAGAAGAACGUUGGUGAGAGUGGAAAGCUCAUCAAGUGACGGUAACGACCCAGAAAGGGACGGCUAACUACGU
RNAcentral lists this ribosomal RNA (496 nucleotides) under uncultured bacterium. Its description in RNAcentral is "partial 16S ribosomal RNA". It matches the Rfam family "Bacterial small subunit ribosomal RNA", at positions 28 to 506 of the family's 1533-position model. The record is from RNAcentral.